Molecule: ribosomal RNA, 831 nt
Filed under: Campylobacter jejuni
Lineage: Bacteria; Pseudomonadati; Campylobacterota; Epsilonproteobacteria; Campylobacterales; Campylobacteraceae
Description: bacterial SSU rRNA
Rfam family: Bacterial small subunit ribosomal RNA
Source: RNAcentral
UAAACUGCUUGGGAAACUGAUAGUCUAGAGUGAGGGAGAGGCAGAUGGAAUUGGUGGUGUAGGGGUAAAAUCCGUAGAUAUCACCAAGAAUACCCAUUGCGAAGGCGAUCUGCUGGAACUCAACUGACGCUAAGGCGCGAAAGCGUGGGGAGCAAACAGGAUUAGAUACCCUGGUAGUCCACGCCCUAAACGAUGUACACUAGUUGUUGGGGUGCUAGUCAUCUCAGUAAUGCAGCUAACGCAUUAAGUGUACCGCCUGGGGAGUACGGUCGCAAGAUUAAAACUCAAAGGAAUAGACGGGGACCCGCACAAGCGGUGGAGCAUGUGGUUUAAUUCGAAGAUACGCGAAGAACCUUACCUGGGCUUGAUAUCCUAAGAACCUUUUAGAGAUAAGAGGGUGCUAGCUUGCUAGAACUUAGAGACAGGUGCUGCACGGCUGUCGUCAGCUCGUGUCGUGAGAUGUUGGGUUAAGUCCCGCAACGAGCGCAACCCACGUAUUUAGUUGCUAACGGUUCGGCCGAGCACUCUAAAUAGACUGCCUUCGUAAGGAGGAGGAAGGUGUGGACGACGUCAAGUCAUCAUGGCCCUUAUGCCCAGGGCGACACACGUGCUACAAUGGCAUAUACAAUGAGACGCAAUACCGCGAGGUGGAGCAAAUCUAUAAAAUAUGUCCCAGUUCGGAUUGUUCUCUGCAACUCGAGAGCAUGAAGCCGGAAUCGCUAGUAAUCGUAGAUCAGCCAUGCUACGGUGAAUACGUUCCCGGGUCUUGUACUCACCGCCCGUCACACCAUGGGAGUUGAUUUCACUCGAAGCCGGAAUACUAAACUAGUU